AUGGGACCCCCACUCCCAGCCUCCAGCCUCACUGGACUCCUCAGAGAAUCCCUGCUCCCAGCCCCCAGCCCGCCUCCUCACGGGACCCCUCAGAGAAUCCCUGCUCCCAGCCCCCAGCCCGCCUCCUCACGGGACCCCUCAGAGAAUCCCUGCUCCCAGCCCCCAGCCCGCCUCCUCACGGGACCCCUCAGAGAAUCCCUGCUCCCAGCCCCCAGCUCGCCUCCUCACGGGACCCCUCACAGAAUCCCUGGUCCCAACCCAGCCCCUCACGGGAUCCUCGAACUGGUCACAGUACGGCCCCUCAUGGGACCCCUCACAGAACACCUGCUCCCAGCCCCCAAUCCAGCCCCUCACGGGGACCCUUCACGGGACCCCCGACCUCGCCCCAGCGCGGCCCCUCACGCGGCCCUUCACAGGAUCCCCGAACUGGUCCCAGCACAAGACCCUUCAGAGAAUCCCCGCUCUCAGCCCGGCCCCUCACUGGACUCCUCAGAGAAUCCCUGCUCCCAGCCCCCAGCCCGCCUCCUCACGGGACCCCUCAGAGAAUCCCUGCUCCCAGCCCCCAGCUCGCCUCCUCACGGGACCCCUCACAGAAUCCCUGGUCCCAACCCAGCCCCUCACGGGAUCCUCGAACUGGUCACAGUACGGCCCCUCAUGGGACCCCUCACAGAAUCCCUGCUCCCAGCCCCUCACGGGGACCUUUCACGGGACCCCCGACCUCGCCCCAGCGCGACCGCUCACGCGGCCCUUCACAGGAUCCCCGAACUGGUCCCAGCACAAGACCCUUCAGAGAAUCCCCGCUCUCAGCCCGGCCCCUCACUGGACUCCUCAGAGAAUCCCUGCUCCCAGCCCCCAGCCCGCCUCCUCACGGGACCCCUCAGAGAAUCCCUGCUCCCAGCCCCCAGCUCGCCUCCUCACGGGACCCCUCACAGAAUCCCUGGUCCCAACCCAGCCCCUCACGGGAUCCUCGAACUGGUCACAGUACGGCCCCUCAUGGGACCCCUCACAGAAUCCCUGCUCCCAGCCCCUCACGGGGACCUUCACGGGGACCCUUCACGGGACCCCCGACCUCGCCCCAGCGCGGCCCCUCACGCGGCCCUUCACAGGAUCCCCGAACUGGUCCCAGCACAAGACCCCUCAGAGAAUCCCUGUUCCCAGCCCGCCUCCUCACGGGAUCCCUCACAGAAUCCCCGGUACCAGCGCGGCCCCUCACAGGACCCUUCACGGGAUCCCCGAACUGGCCUCAGCGCAGCCCCUCACGGGACCCUUCACGGGAUCCUCGAUCGCAGAUCGGACCCUCACGGGACCCUUCACGGGAUCCCCUUCACGGGAUCCCCGUCAUGGGCCAGACCCUCACGGGUCCUAGCACUAACGCCUCAGCGAAGACUCGCCCACGCCCGCGCCCUCAAAAGGCGGGAACCGAUCAGCACCCGACGGAAACGCCCGAAGGCUCUACGGAGAUCCCCGAGGUAG
RNAcentral lists this long non-coding RNA (1473 nucleotides) under Ficedula albicollis (Collared flycatcher). RNAcentral describes it as "lncRNA (ENSFALG00000025520.1)". Lineage: Eukaryota; Metazoa; Chordata; Aves; Passeriformes; Muscicapidae. The record is from RNAcentral.